Molecule: ribosomal RNA, 466 nt
Filed under: uncultured bacterium
Lineage: Bacteria
Description: bacterial SSU rRNA
Rfam family: Bacterial small subunit ribosomal RNA
Source: RNAcentral
UAGGGAAUAUUGGUCAAUGGGUGAGAGCCUGAACCAGCCAUGCCGCGUGCAGGAAGAAGGCCUUCUGGGUUGUAAACUGCUUUUUGCCGGGGGAUAAAAUGGCUUUGCGAAGCUAAUUGAAGGUACCCGGUGAAUAAGCCACGGCUAACUACGUGCCAGCAGCCGCGGUAAUACGUAGGUGGCAAGCGUUGUCCGGAUUUAUUGGGUUUAAAGGUGCGUAGGCGGUUCUUUAAGUCAGUGGUGAAAUACAGCCGCUUAACGGUUGAGGUGCCAUUGAUACUGAAGAACUUGAGUACAGACGAGGUAGGCGGAAUUGACGGUGUAGCGGUGAAAUGCUUAGAUAUCGUCAAGAACACCGAUAGCGAAGGCAGCUUACUAGACUGUAACUGACGCUGAGGCACGAAAGUGUGGGGAUCAAACAGGAUUAGAUACCCCCGUAGUCCCUGAGCGGGCUGGCAAGGCGCAU